This 157-nucleotide small RNA is filed under the name Aspergillus wentii DTO 134E9. RNAcentral describes it as "A. fumigatus sRNA Afu_254". It matches the Rfam family "A. fumigatus sRNA Afu_254". The record is from Rfam by way of RNAcentral. Lineage: Eukaryota; Fungi; Ascomycota; Eurotiomycetes; Eurotiales; Aspergillaceae.
AACAACAGCCUCGAUUCCUCACAACCACUCUUCAAACUCUUUCCAACAAAACCACUUUUCCAUCUACCAUCAAGAUGUCUCCCUGCUCUUGCAACUGCUGCUCCGGCAACUGCUCCAGCUGCCAGUGCUCCUCCUGCAGCGUAUGUCUCCCAUUGUA